CCUACGGGAGGCAGCAGUGGGGAAUUUUGGACAAUGGGCGCAAGCCUGAUCCAGCCAUUCCGCGUGCAGGAUGAAGGCCCUCGGGUUGUAAACUGCUUUUGUACGGAACGAAACGCGCUGAGUUAAUACCUCGGCGUAAUGACGGUACCGUAAGAAUAAGCACCGGCUAACUACGUGCCAGCAGCCGCGGUAAU
This 194-nucleotide ribosomal RNA is filed under the name uncultured beta proteobacterium. Its description in RNAcentral is "partial 16S ribosomal RNA". It matches the Rfam family "Bacterial small subunit ribosomal RNA", at positions 338 to 524 of the family's 1533-position model. Lineage: Bacteria; Pseudomonadati; Pseudomonadota; Betaproteobacteria. The record is from RNAcentral.